This 694-nucleotide ribosomal RNA is filed under the name bacterium. RNAcentral describes it as "bacterial SSU rRNA". It matches the Rfam family "Bacterial small subunit ribosomal RNA", at positions 73 to 781 of the family's 1533-position model. The record is from RNAcentral.
ACCUCACUUGUGGGGGGAUUAGUGGCGAACGGGUGAGUAACACGUGAGUAACCUGCCCUUAACUCUGGGAUAAGCCUGGGAAACUGGGUCUAAUACCGGAUAUGACUCCUCAUCGCAUGGUGGGGGGUGGAAAGCUUUUUGUGGUUUUGGAUGGACUCGCGGCCUAUCAGCUUGUUGGUGAGGUAAUGGCUUACCAAGGCGACGACGGGUAGCCGGCCUGAGAGGGUGACCGGCCACACUGGGACUGAGACACGGCCCAGACUCCUACGGGAGGCAGCAGUGGGGAAUAUUGCACAAUGGGCGCAAGCCUGAUGCAGCGACGCCGCGUGAGGGAUGACGGCCUUCGGGUUGUAAACCUCUUUCAGUAGGGAAGAAGCGAAAGUGACGGUACCUGCAGAAGAAGCGCCGGCUAACUACGUGCCAGCAGCCGCGGUAAUACGUAGGGCGCAAGCGUUAUCCGGAAUUAUUGGGCGUAAAGAGCUCGUAGGCGGUUUGUCGCGUCUGCCGUGAAAGUCCGGGGCUCAACUCCGGAUCUGCGGUGGGUACGGGCAGACUAGAGUGAUGUAGGGGAGACUGGAAUUCCUGGUGUAGCGGUGAAAUGCGCAGAUAUCAGGAGGAACACCGAUGGCGAAGGCAGGUCUCUGGGCAUUAACUGACGCUGAGGAGCGAAAGCAUGGGGAGCGAACAGGAUUAG